GUGGAUAGACUCUGAAAGGUUCUUGCCUGUUAGAGUGAGAUGGACUUUUGAACAGUUACCAAAUUUCUCCUGCACAUUCACUGUCUUCUUAGGAUACGCAUUCAGAUUUCUUCCACAGCGCCAAAUACCUGUGACUCACUACAAAAGGAAAAACCCAUGGGACCAAAACAUGGUUUCUGAUGGCAUUUGCAACUUCUUGGCAACCUACCACCUGAUUAUUCUUUUUCUCUGAUUGUGCUAUAUCAAUAGUGACAUUAUUAUCACUCUCCCACUAAUUUAUUCAUGACUCACAAAGACUUGGGAUCUACUAUAGUUCAGUUAUUUUUUCUGAAUCUUAAGGAUUCAGUGGAGAAGAAAACAGAAAUGGAUCAUGAUUUCACACAAUUUAUAGUCUAGUGACUGAGACACAGAUGAAUAGAGAUAAUAUAUGAGCUGGCACCCCGGAAGGAAAUUUCCUUAAAAGUUUUCAAAUGAGGUUGAAGUUGAGAAAGGCAGGAAGGCAUUACGAGAGAGAGGGAGGAGAGAGAAAGAGACAGAGAAGAAAGUGGCCUGCUUUGUCUGGAUUCCAGUUCUUUCUCCAACCCUUCUCUGUGUGUGACCUUGGACUAGUCACUUGACCUCUCUGUGUCUCUAUUUCCUCAUCAGAAAGGUGAUUGAUGACUAAAGCUCCAACUUCCUUCCUCACAUCACUGAUGUUACGCAUGUAGGACAUGAAGUCUGGAUGAAAGGGCCUUGGAACUCAUCCGGGAAGUUUAGUCCAUCACUUUACCAAGCUAAUUUGCGACAAUCAGUCUUAGGGUGGCCCUACAGAAACCACAGUUAUUUCCAGUCUGAGCUGUUUCCCAGUUGGGACAAACAGGAAUAAUUGCCCCUGAAGAGGCCUCUGAAGUGAUUGAUCCACCUGUGUUAGGCAGGCAUAUAGUCCAGGUCUUACUGCUUCUAGCUACUUGGCACCCCUCCAUUCUCUGCCUCCAUCUCCGACCUGCAGGUUAUAUUUUUCCUUCAAUGAGUUCCCUUGCUCUUUAGACUGCCCUUGGCACUCCUGUAAUAGGCAUUUUCACACAUGUAGAAAUAGGAAAGAUGAGAGAUCGCGCAGAACAAUUUGUCUUGGUCAAUGGAUUACCUGUAGAUCAUCAGGUUGACUGAAAUUUUGAGGUCUAUGUUGUGUCCCUUGCAAUAUAAUUUUAACACAGUAUCUUUCUGAUGAUAUGGUCAUUUAAGUGAGCACUAGCAAUGCACAUGUUGCUGUGUGUGCUGAAAUACUCCCAGACUAGGUCCAAGUUAUGGACGAAAGUGUAUUGUUCUCAACGACCUCUAGCCUGGUGCUACUCCAAGUGGUGAUCCAUAGACCAGUGUCCAUCUACAAAAUUUUUAUUCCAGAUCCACUUUGGAACAAGAACAGAAAUUAAGAGCAAGAGUUUAGGAACAUUAAGGCAAUUGUACAGUGAUUUUAUGUCUGUUGAAUCUAGUAAUUAAAAUGUGUAAAACAAAA
Molecule: long non-coding RNA, 1492 nt
Filed under: Homo sapiens (human)
Lineage: Eukaryota; Metazoa; Chordata; Mammalia; Primates; Hominidae
Description: HSALNT0146884
Source: RNAcentral